UCCUCCUUCUACUUUUGCUCUCUUUCUAUUACUGACAGAGAAUACAGGAGGGUGGGGCUGUGUUUCUGCUGGAGCAGGCCUAAGUUAGCCAAACCUCAACAGCUAAUUUAUGCAUUUUAUAGGUUGGUUUGGUGAGUGAGUUUUGCUUUGCUGUCAGGUCUGUUAAUGACACGUAAAAAGUGUGUAAGAGUAAUCUAGUAAUUGGAACCGUCAUAAAGGAAGACUACGAGUAAUAUUUUACAAGAUAUUGUCUCUCUGCUCCUUGUAUACAUGAUUUUUUAUAUAUAUAUAUAUAUAUAGGUUUUUGUUUUUUUUUUUGUUUUGUUUUUUUCCCAUCACAUUUCUAUUCCAGGUGAACUAGCAGUGAAGAGAAUGAGGUCUGAAGAAAUAGAGGAAUCUGUAGAGGUGAGGAGGUGUUUUUUUUUUUUUUUUUUUUUUUUUAAAUAGCUGUGUAUCUCUAGUCUGUGAUUAUUCUCUAUCCUUCCUGUCUAACACAGUUACCUUUAUCCAAAUUGCUGUUUGUGUGCCCUGAUGUGUAUUCAAAUAUGAUGCUGCAGGAAACCCAGGCUGAUAAGGAGGUGAAGGAAGACAAGAGCCAACAGGAACAAUGUGAGCAACAGCCUGUAAAAAACAGCAGUAAGAAAGCACAUAUACACACACACACACACAGCACACUCUAUAUCGGUGUAAAGUCAUACUUUAUAUGUUUAUUGCUAUGAUACUUGAUAUUUAUUGUAAAGACAUCACCUUGAUGGUUAUGAUCUUUGUAUCUUACAUUUCAGGUGGUUCUCCUUCAGUGAGCCAAUCAGAAGGACAAGAGGCUAAAGAGGAGACCUGCAGUGAGAAUAGACCAGAUGAUACUGAGGAGGAGCAACAGCAACUGAGGAUUCGGAUAAAAAGGACAAAAAGGCAGAAGAAAGUGAGCAGAAUGAUGAGGAGGAGGAAGAUAUUAAGAAAGAAGAGGAAGAAAAAGAAAUGGCAACCAGAGCUACAACACGACUAG
RNAcentral lists this long non-coding RNA (1003 nucleotides) under Mastacembelus armatus (zig-zag eel). RNAcentral describes it as "lncRNA (ENSMAMG00000024730.1)". The record is from RNAcentral. Lineage: Eukaryota; Metazoa; Chordata; Actinopteri; Synbranchiformes; Mastacembelidae.